CCUACGGGAGGCAGCAGUGAGGAAUAUUGGACAAUGGGCGCAAGCCUGAUCCAGCCAUGCCGCGUGCAGGAAGACGGUCCUAUGGAUUGUAAACUGCUUUUGUACAGGAAGAAACACUCCCUCGUGAGGGAGCUUGACGGUACUGUAAGAAUAAGGAUCGGCUAACUCCGUGCCAGCAGCCGCGGUAAUACGGAGGAUCCAAGCGUUAUCCGGAAUCAUUGGGUUUAAAGGGUCCGUAGGCGGUUUAAUAAGUCAGUGGUGAAAUCUGGUCGCUCAACGAUCAAACGGCCAUUGAUACUGUUAGACUUGAAUUAUUAGGAAGUAACUAGAAUAUGUAGUGUAGCGGUGAAAUGCUUAGAUAUUACAUGGAAUACCAAUUGCGAAGGCAGGUUACUACUAAUGGAUUGACGCUGAUGGACGAAAGCGUGGGGAGCGAACAGGAUUAGAUACCCUGGUAGUCCACGCCGUAAACGAUGGAUACUAGCUGUUCGGAGCAAUCUGAGUGGCUAAGCGAAAGUGAUAAGUAUCCCACCUGGGGAGUACGUUCGCAAGAAUGAAACCUNAAGUGAAUUGACGNNGAGAGAGACGAGAGACGACGAGGGAGGAGG
This 608-nucleotide ribosomal RNA is filed under the name uncultured bacterium. RNAcentral describes it as "bacterial SSU rRNA". It matches the Rfam family "Bacterial small subunit ribosomal RNA", at positions 338 to 947 of the family's 1533-position model. The record is from RNAcentral.